UGCAUAGCAGUAAUGUGGGUGGCAAUAGGGACCCAACAUCUGUCAUGGAGUAAGGAAAGAGGAGGCGAACGGCUUUAUUUACCGGUCGAAGAAAAUCGAGUGGCGUUAGCGCGAAACGGGAGUCGGUGAAAAGAAGGAAAAACCGCUUGUCCAGAACGGAAACUGCUUUUGUGGGGAGAGCGGUUUUGACUGGAAAGUAGACAGAGAGAACCCCACCAGUAUGAAAAUACCGAAGCUUCUGUUUACUUAAAAACUCCCCUGUUUCCUUGCCCCCCUUCUUUAUUGCAACCUUCGAUAUCAGUACUACGACUUUGAAACUUUGAGGUUUUGGGGUCCCUUCCCUUCCCUUCCUUUAAGCUUUUACUCUGCCAUUUUAAUCUUUCAUCUUUCCUCGAGCUUCAAUACAUACCUCUUCUCGGUUUGCCGUUGCCGGAAAAAGCUGGGCGGCGGCCAAGGAGGGUUUUUUUUUCCUGGUUACGCUUUCUUGUCCCUUUGGUUAACUUUGCCGUUUGAUGGCGCCGGAAAAGGGGGUUUCUCCGGCGAUUGAAGGGUUUUCCGGGAACAGUUUUGCGCAGUUGUUGGAUUCUGGUAGCUUAGGUUUAGAAAUGAGGGAAGAGGUGUGUCGAGCUCAGCAAGGUUUGGUGUCGCCGAAGCCUCAUUUCUCGGGGUUUAAGCAAGGGCCUGAUAUGCUCGGUUUCCAUGGCCAUGCUAGUGACCGGAAGGAUGGUUCUGCGCCGUCGAUUCCUGGAAUCAGUGGCAGCGAUUCUUCCUCGUCUGGUUCGAGCAAUAGCAGUCGGCCCAAGAGCUCUGUAAUUAGAAGCGAUGUUGGGGAAGCUUCAAUAGAGCACAAGAAGCAUAGUGGGUCGGUUGAACAUGGUAAUGGCGAGGCUGGAGUUCAAUUCAAGAAACCGAAGGUGGAUUCAUCAGCCUCUGUUCCAUUGAAGGUUAGGAAAGAGAAGCUCGGAGAGCGAAUCACUGCUCUGCAACAGCUUGUUUCUCCUUAUGGCAAGACCGACACGGCCUCUGUUCUUCACGAGGCUAUGGGUUACAUCCGCUUCCUCCACGACCAAGUUCAGGUGCUUAGCACUCCCUACUUGCAACGAAUUCCGCCUUCUAGCCUGCGGGAAGCUGGAGAAGAAGAGUCGAAGUAUGAUUUGAGGAGCCGAGGUCUGUGCUUAGUCCCUGUUUCCUGCACCCUUCAUGUGGCAAGCAGCAAUGGUGCUGAUUUUUGGGCACCAGCCAUGGCAAGCAAUUCCUCCAAAUACUGAAACAAAAAAUUCAAGAAAAACAAGGAGAUGAAAGAUUCAACAUGUGUAUUCUGUAGAGAGAGAAAGCAAAAAGCUCUGCUGACCCGGACUACGGCCAUGGCCUUGAAUUUUUUUGGGCUCGAUCAAAGAUUCGGGCCUGGUCUUGGACCUCUUUUCAGCUCAUCUAUUGAGACAAAUAUGGUAGAAAUCAAUAAUAUCGGAAUACUGGACUUGGGCUUGGGCUUGGACUUGGGCUUGGGCUGGGAUUGGACUUGGACGUCUUCUCACCUUGAUCAAUAAUUCGGGCCUGGGCUUGGACCUCUUUUAAGCUCAUAGAUGCAGGAAGACAAGUAUGAUGUUUUAAAAUAGUGUGUGGCUGGUUGGCGAUAAAAGAGACUUUGUUAAGAGGUCGCAGUCGCACCCAAUCCCAUCCCACCGAAAUCAGGGCCGCAUUUUGUGGGAUUAAUAAUGUGGGGUCGGUGUCGCACCAAACCAUUGAAGAAAACGAUAGAGUCUACCGAAAGCAACGUAUGAUAGAUGAGGAUUUGGGACCUAAGCUUUGAGGGAGAGUGCCCCCUUUCAAACUUUUGUGUCAUGAGAACUGUGGUCCGCGUGAUACGAAUGUGUUUCGGUGGUUGUCGCUUCUUGUAAAAUAAUUUUAUAAGUGGGUAAACAACAAAUUUAUGUCAUAAGUUAGUAAACAACAAAUUGAUGUCUCCCGCCAAUUUUGAAGGGAAAGUCUUACUAAGAUCAUGAAAUAUUAUCAUCAUCCAACCUAUGAUGUUACAAAUUUUGUAUUGAAAAAUAUUGUUAUAUUUCAAAACAAAAUUGAAAAAUCUUUUGUUACCAUAUUGUUUAAUUAAUGAAAAUUUUAUAUGGAGUUUCAACGGGAAGCGUACGAGAGGCACCUUGAAAAUCGACAGGAAAAGGUUGUCUUGAUGAUGAAAAUCCCACUUAUUGAUUAUUUCGACUAUGAGAUGCAUGGGUAUGAGGAAAAAAACAGAGAGGAAUUGAAGUAUUGAACGCAGCACCUUACAAUAUAAUAUUUGGAGGAUUUAUUUUUAAGAUUUUCUAAUAGUUGUAGAUUGUUCGAUCUGUAUAGCUUCAAAUUUUAUAAUUAGGGAUGGA
Non-coding RNA from Amborella trichopoda, 2375 nucleotides. The record is from RefSeq and is a predicted model, not a curated record. NCBI's taxonomy places the organism in Eukaryota, Viridiplantae, Streptophyta, Magnoliopsida, Amborellales, Amborellaceae.